This 460-nucleotide ribosomal RNA is filed under the name uncultured bacterium. RNAcentral's name for it is "partial 16S ribosomal RNA". It matches the Rfam family "Bacterial small subunit ribosomal RNA", at positions 338 to 795 of the family's 1533-position model. The record is from RNAcentral.
CCUACGGGAGGCAGCAGUGAGGAAUAUUGGUCAAUGGACGAGAGUCUGAACCAGCCAAGUAGCGUGAAGGAUGACUGCCCUAUGGGUUGUAAACUUCUUUUAUAAAGGAAUAAAACGAGGCACGUGUGCCUUUUUGCAUGUACUUUAUGAAUAAGGAUCGGCUAACUCCGUGCCAGCAGCCGCGGUAAUACGGAGGAUCCGAGCGUUAUCCGGAUUUAUUGGGUGUAAAGGGAGCGUAGAUGGGUUGUUAAGUCAGUUGUGAAAGUUUGCGGCUCAACCGUAAAAUUGCAAUUGAUACUGGCAGUCGUGAGUACAGUUGAGGUAGGCGGAAUUCGUGGUGUAGCGGUGAAAUGCUUAGAUAUCACGAAGAACCCCGAUUGCGAAGGCAGCUUACUAAACUGUGACUGACAUUGAUGCUCGAAAGUGUGGGUAUCAAACAGGAUUAGAUACCCCAGUAGUC